AGUGAACGCUGGCGGUAGGCCUAACACAUGCAAGUCGAACGGCAGCACAGUAAGUGCUUGCUCUUACGGGUGCCGAGUGGCGGACGGGUGAGGAAUACAUCGGAAUCUAUUUUUUCUUGGGUGCUAACGUAGGGAAACUUACGCUAAUACUGCAUACGACCUACGGGUGAAAGCAGGGGAUCUUCGGACCUUGCGCGAUUGAAUGAGCGGAUGUCGGAUUAGCUAGUUGGUGGGGUAAAGGCCCACCAAGGCGACGAUCCGUAGCUGGUCUGAGAGGAUGAUCAGCCACACUGGAACUGAGACACGGUCCAGACUCCUACGGGAGGCAGCAGUGGGGAAUAUUGGACAAUGGGCGCAAGCCUGAUCCAGCCAUGCCGCGUGUGUGAAGAAGGCCUUCGGGUUGUAAAGCCCUUUUGUUGGGAAAGAAGAGCAGCAGGUUAAUACCCCGCUGUUCUGACGGUACCCAAAGAAUAAGCACCGGCUAACUUCGUG
RNAcentral lists this ribosomal RNA (492 nucleotides) under uncultured bacterium. Its description in RNAcentral is "partial 16S ribosomal RNA". It matches the Rfam family "Bacterial small subunit ribosomal RNA", at positions 29 to 507 of the family's 1533-position model. The record is from RNAcentral.